Grus americana (Whooping crane) is the source of this 5229-nucleotide long non-coding RNA. RefSeq lists it as uncharacterized. NCBI's taxonomy places the organism in Eukaryota, Metazoa, Chordata, Aves, Gruiformes, Gruidae. The transcript is spliced from 4 exons. The record is from RefSeq and is a predicted model, not a curated record.
GCUGGCAGGGUGCGAUGCUCGUGCUGGAGUCGGAUCCAUUACCGUGGCUACUGAUGAAGCGAGUCAGUACCUGCUAAUAGGACAGGCAGGUGGAGAAAAGGAUAAUGUGGAGCAGAGCUUCCAACAUCAGGUCUAAGCUACUGAGUGAAGUCCCCGGGAGCCCUUUAACUGACUCUAAGGAGUGAUCAACCGGGCAGCUAAACAAAAACCAUUUCUCCCUCCCACCCAGCACAAAAAGGGAUUGAACGGAAGGAGACUUUUCCUUAUCCAUCCCGCAGCGCCAGGAUUUCAAGCAGUAAGCGAUGGUCCUUGGGAAGCUUUCAGACUCCUCCUGUCUGUAUCACGUACCUGGGUAUUUUCUUUUUUGAGCAGGACUGCUGCCCGGGUGCCGGUGAGAAGGUACCCAGCCCUUGCUGUGGAAGACUGGGAUAUCUCAGGAACAACUUUGCCCUCCUUAGACAGUACUUGGGUAGAAAUAUGAAAUACAAAUAAAAAGCAGCCGCGGUACGAUAGUUAUUCUGACUUUUUAAAAACAACACUUUUAAGAACUGCCACGGCAGAAAUAAACACUCUCGCUCUGCGGAUGAUGUCUCAAGGGAAAUACACGCUUGCUUUCUUUGUCUCUUUUUCUUUUGGGAGGAUGACAACUGAUAUAUUUAUAUAUAGGAGAGAGUCUGCCUAUUUUAUCUGAAGACUACAAGAAAUUAUUCAAGCUUCAAGCAACUCUCUGCUCCGUACUUUUAGGAAGAAAAUGAGCAAAUUGAAAAUCCUCUUGCCUUUCACAGGAAGGGUGUUGCCAAAAACAAGUACAAGAAAAAAGGCUGGUGGGGAUGAAGACACAAAGAAAAGCAACUCCUUUUCUUGAAGAGGAAUCUCCUAAUUUUGGGAUGGAGGAUAAACAGAAAUUUUACUUUUUCUCCCUGCUCUUUAGAAAACCUCCUCUCACAACACGACGGCUUACAACCUGCCGACGGUACGAAGGACGCGCGACACAUAACCACGCACGUUACAAGACCCAAUUGAUCGCGGUUUGUAGAUACAAAUAUCAGCUACUCGAAGGUGGGUAUUUGGUGCUCUUCUGCGAGACGCUAUCAGCUCCUGGUGAGACGGACAGCAAAGGUCAGUAGCUGAGCUCGUGGAGAGAAAUGAGGUGAAAGAACCCGAUUGUGUCGGACGCUUUGAAGCUGACUCAGCAAGGUCAAAUGCGCAAUCUUUAAAUUAAAUGCUUUGAAGCUGAAUUAAUUGUCAUAUGAGCUUUAAUUCUUUUAAUCAGGUGCCUGUUUUCAUCUGACCAAGAGAUGUUAUUUCUCUGUCAGGAUUUCAUUAGCAGUGCCUGCCUCACUCCCUGUCUCUCCCCACCUCUCUGCUUUCCCUGUGAAAGGCAAGGUGUAAAAAAUACUGUGCUGCUAAUACAGACAAUUCCAGCACUUCCGAACUUUCUCUCUAUUUUAGCUUCAACUAUCCAAAGCUCAUCCUCGUCAAGCAAAAGAAGAAUGUCUUGCACUUUCAUAUUACUGCACGUUGCUCAGAAUGAGAGAUAAAUGAGAGACAGUGCCAUAAAUAUAGCAUGGGCAGUGCAAUUUUAAAAGCAAAACUUGAACAAAGUGUAAUUGCUGUGUGUGAGUAUCACCGUGAUCAAACUAAAUACGCACAGCUAUUAGUAAACCUGUAUUUUAUCCCUAAGUGGACUUGGCUUCUCAGUGACCACUGCGUCGAGGAAACAGCUGGAUUGUUAAUACAAAUCUCUGUCACAUCAGUCCACUUUGCGCCACUGAGUAGUUUUAAUGUAUUGUGGACACAGUCCACAGUUAUUGAGAUUAUUGAGAUUUAUCCCCAAUUACUGAGAGUUUUCCCGCAACGGCUGUGCUGUAGACAUGGGCACUGUAAACUGAUUUGUUGCUUGAGGCUUUGCACCACCUCUCGUUAAAGCCCAGAGCAGCACACUGCUGCCUUUUGGGUCAGCGUAUCAGUAAAUUAGUAUCAGAUUCUUUUUGCAGCUAACCUCAACAACAAUUCCUAGUCACAACUGCUCACAUUUAAGUGCGUGUCUAAAUUGUUUUCUUGUAUCUGAAAUACACCAAUUAAGUAUUAAGCCCUGGUAAUGUAUUAAUUAGCUUUUUUUUUUUUUUAGUUUAAUGCACCUUUUAAUUAACUGAAGCCAGAAAUGCAGCUUACAUCUUUAAAAUUCUAAUCCUUUAAAUCAUUACGAGUUUCAUCCUAAGCUUACCGAAAUCAAUAGAUAAACUCCUGCAGCUUUCCCAAGAGCUAAGUACCUGUAAUUAUAGCUGUAAGGUGAGAUUCCACAGCUUGGACAGAAACUUGUCUUGAAUUUUUUGCUGCUUGGUUUCGCCCUCUGCACAAAGGGUAUCGUUCCCUGCCUACGCAGUAACGAGCAGGGCUCAGUGAGUAUUGUGUACCUUUGAGUUUAGUUUUUAAUGGUCUCUAAAUAACGGUCUCUACAGUGUUAAGAGUCACUUGGGAAUAAAAUUCAGUCUUCAUGUGCUGGAUUUAGAGCUUGUUAAAUGCAAGUGAACUUUCAGCUUAAACGGGUGCAGCAAUCUCUGCGGCUCAUCCAUGUUCUGAUGAGCUAAGGCUCAUCAUCUUGUUAACAACGUACGAGUGUAUGAAAUUCGUAACAAGUUAAUUCCUCAGGCCUCUCUCCCAAAGAAAGUAGUACAGACUUCCAGCCUCCUCUGCUCAGAUGAGAUACUAUCAGGUGUCAUAGUAACAACUCAGUGAAUAUCAUUUAAUUCUUAUUCAUGAACUAGUCUGGCUUUAGUGGGAGGGAUAUAUGCACAUGAGAAGAAAGAUUCUUGUCCUUAAUCUGGGACUGGAGGAAUCCCUGAAGAUCAGCCUGCUGUAUAUAUGUAAAUAAAUGGUUGCAGGGUAAACCUGCUCAGUCAUGCAGACAUUCAGUGAACAGUUUUAAUGUUCUUGUUUCAAUAGAGGAUAAUUUUAAUUUUUUUUUUUGAGUACUUAAUGGCAGGAUAGAACUUAGAAUAAAUUAAAAGAACGGAGUUUUGAAGAAGCAAGGAAAAAAAAGAAAAAAAGCCAGUCUAGUCUCCCCGAGUUGAGCAGGGGAUUAACUGCCUCCGUGAAAAAGUAAAAAGUGAAGUUCUGCCUGACGCUGGAAGAGUUUUGGUAUGGGCAGCACAUACAGGGAGAGACGCCUCUCCCUUCGGUCGUUCCAGGAUAGCUUAUUUUUAAUACAGAGUUUUAAGUGGGGAAGAAAUAAGAUAUAAUGAGCAAUUACAACAGCACCAGUAAAGUCACAUCCCCAGGGAUUUCUCCCUUGAGAUCGGCUGGGUUUGACUUCAGUGCCCAACAAGGGGCUGGCUGGGGCUGAGGGCUUCCCAGGAACGGGGGCAUCCCCAAAGCAGGGCUCUCCACCCCCGCUCUGUUACAGGCACCAAAGUCACCUCGCCGCACCUCUCCGAGGGAAAGGCUUUUUCUCCUCCGUCCAGUCCGCGUGUCUUCCUGUUUCGUAGGAAUUAGGUUCUCCGUGAUCUUCACACUUCCAUCAGAUUUGUUAGACCUGGGCAAUGAACUCAAAGGGUGCGAGGGAGAGAUGGAUACAGCGUGGUCCUCAGGGCUGAACAAGCCUUGGUUCCCCAACUGGGAGAAAAACUACCAAAAAGCUAAACUUGUCAGCAGAACGGGAAGCAGAAAAUUCAGUGUUGUUCUCUGUGAAGUACAGUGCUUGAGCUCUGCCUCUUUUAUUCUUUUUUUCCUCUUCCAAAAGCCUGAUUUUCACAGUGUACCUCACCAAAUGUAUAACUGACUUUGAUGUGGAAUUCACUCCUGUUUUGUAGCCUUGAAAGCCGUAUUUGAUGAGAAGAGCCUUUUCCCAAAAGAAAUUCAUGAUCAUGAACGAAAAGCGAGGCAACUCUGUGAGCGAGUCUGCAGUGAAGGCAAGAUAAAAAGAAAUAAGAAGCAAGCAAAGCUGGAAGAAAAACAAACCUCCUCUUACGAAGGAGUGUGUGUCUAAAGAACAGCACAUACGGAGUGAGACUGCCUUUGCUACGUGCUAUUAGUUUUUACAGCGCACUCCCUUUUGUCUUAGGGGCAACGUUUUCAGUCAUUACUUGGGAUUUCAUCCUUGCACAGCUCUUAGGUCUGCACUAGGAUCCCAGCUCUCUCGCUUGUACUGUGUUUUUCAUCAAAGUAACUGAAAUCAAUGAGGUUAUUUUUAUGCUUUUUUUUUUUUUUGGUCUGUUUUGAAUCAUUUUUCUGACUGGAGUCCAGCUGAAGUUUCUAGACAUUCAGAUGUUCUUGGAGUGUUUAAAAACAGAAAGUGAUCAAAUCCAGAUCUGAUUUAAACCAAAUAAUUUGGGUCCAGUGAAGUUAUUUGUCAGUUAUUUACCUUCUUCCAAAUGUAAGGUUUUCUGUAAGACUUUCCUGUUCUAACCCUAAAAAGAGAAAUGCGAUGUGAGGCCAGAGAAGAAUCUGAUAUUUGCAGGGAUUUUCUUCCAAAGCAUGUGCUCUCCCCAGGGUCUGAUAUUCAUUAAUUCAGAUUAAACAAGUACUGACCCCAAACUUGAUCUCACACUUCUACCAGACAUCCCUUUGUAUCUGUGAAGCCAUAUGCAAAUGACAAUUAGCAGCCGAGCUGGAUGCUUGAUUGGAUUCAACGGUGUCAAAACGUUCAUCACGGCAAUCGUGGCGCUCUUUCCCUUGGGUUAAAAAAUGAAAAAAAUAUUUGGUGUUUCUUUGGACGUGAAAAAACCCCACCCCAAUAUUCUGACAUUGUUUUACUCUAACCUCCUUUUUGAAUCUGAAGGGCAAGAAAUCUCUGUAGACAACCCAAUUUCCUACAUUUUCCAGCUUAGUACCUGUUCUGGAUAAAUUUGGGGAAAGUAAUUGACUAUUCAAGUGUUCGCUAAACUGACAGAAAUGUUUUAAGAGGUACUUUUUCUAAAAACUCAAGCCCUAAUUCUUUCUCCGCUGGGAGCUUUCCUAUUCAUUAAGGAGCAAGGUCAGAUUAUAGGAAGAAAACAACAAGCUGGUUUCCAACCUGAGAUGCAGCUUCUGCUCAGGAAAUACUGCGCUCUGCAGCAUAUGGUUCUCCUGUACCAUUGCCUUAAUGACUUCAGGACCUCAAUUACACACAUACUAGACGCUUGACGCUUUCUAAGCACUGAAAAAUUAUCCUUGCUCUGAGAAGCUCUACGUUAGAUAAUGAGAAUAAUCAAAUGGCAUAGUGAAACGAAACCAGCAGUUCUCACACAU